UACGGAGGGUGCAAGCGUUAUCCGGAUUCACUGGGUUUAAAGGGUGCGUAGGUGGGUAAGUAAGUCCGUGGUGAAAUCUCUGAGCUUAACUCAGAAACUGCCGUGGAUACUAUUUAUCUUGAAUAUUGUGGAGGUGAGCGGAAUAUGUCAUGUAGCGGUGAAAUGCUUAGAUAUGACAUAGAACACCAAUUGCGAAGGCAGCUCACUACACAAUUAUUUGACGCUGAGGCACGAAAGCGUGGGGAUCGAACAGG
This 254-nucleotide ribosomal RNA is filed under the name uncultured bacterium. RNAcentral's name for it is "partial 16S ribosomal RNA". It matches the Rfam family "Bacterial small subunit ribosomal RNA", at positions 524 to 776 of the family's 1533-position model. The record is from RNAcentral.